Parathielavia hyrcaniae is the source of this 96-nucleotide non-coding RNA. The record is from the annotation of a GenBank genome assembly. Lineage: Eukaryota; Fungi; Ascomycota; Sordariomycetes; Sordariales; Chaetomiaceae.
GCCCGCAUGGCUCAGUGGUAGAGCAUCUCACUAGUAAUGACAGAGAUGUCUUACUGGAUAAUGAGGGGGUCGUCAGUUCAAUUCUGACUGUGGGCA